AAAACUUUUAACAACGGAUCUCUUGGUUCUGGCAUCGAUGAAGAACGCAGCGAAAUGCGAUAAGUAAUGUGAAUUGCAGAAUUCAGUGAAUCAUCGAAUCUUUGAACGCACAUUGCGCCCGCCAGCACUCUGGCGGGCAUGCCUGUUCGAGCGUCAUUU
RNAcentral lists this ribosomal RNA (159 nucleotides) under Colletotrichum tofieldiae. RNAcentral's name for it is "5.8S ribosomal RNA". It matches the Rfam family "5.8S ribosomal RNA". Rfam says of the family: 5.8S ribosomal RNA (5.8S rRNA) is a component of the large subunit of the eukaryotic ribosome. It is transcribed by RNA polymerase I as part of the 45S precursor that also contains 18S and 28S rRNA. Functionally, it is thought that 5.8S rRNA may be involved in ribosome translocation. The record is from RNAcentral. Lineage: Eukaryota; Fungi; Ascomycota; Sordariomycetes; Glomerellales; Glomerellaceae.